CAACAAAAUAGCGGAGACUGCAACAACAACAGAUGGCUGGAGUAUACAUAAUGGAGUGUACUUUCAUACGCGUACGCUACAAAAAUGAAGUGUACUUUGGGCUUUGUGAGAAGGACAAGUAAAGCAGACAACUCACCAGGAAAGACUGAAAGGAGAUAGAAUGUGAUUAAAAACUGUUACUGUCUGCAGAGCAUGAACACACGUAGAAGGAGUCACCACGCAAUGCCUAGGCAUGCAUUUUUUUAGAGAUGGGACGUUUGACACUGAGGCUCUGAAGCCUGUUUUACUGUAGCCUAUUGAAGCAGACUGCUUCGAAAGACUGUCCCUGCAUUCCAUUCGGAAGGGCUCAUCCCUAUGCCCUAAUCCCUUCAAAGGGUUUACCCUCCGGAGUGAGAGCUUCGAAGGGUUGAAGGGUGUAGGGGACCAAACAACUUCUUGAAGUGCCCUUCUGCGUCAUCAUCCCGUGCCCACACGGAGGCGCCGUCAUCAUGCAAAGAAUCAGCACAAAGGAUCAUGGGAAGCCGAAGUGUCCAUCAGUUGUACCCUUCGAAAUCUUUUAUUCCAAAGGGCUAUUUGAAGAGGCCAGUUUUGAGCACUUCGGUUUGGAACGACCCUUCAAUAUGACGGCCAUGAUUGUUUUCACUCCGAAGUGCCCUUUUUUCUCUGGCCGGUGUCAAUACGGAGAAUUACCCUUAUUAACACUGUUGAGUGUUUUUAGUGACAUCCGGGACAUUUUCUCGUGUGCGAACCUAAUCCGUCUGAAAUAUUUUUCACAGACGCCAUUUUCUUUGCUCGCGAUGCAGAGCAUAUUAGGACGGAAAACAGCGAAAUAAAGUGUUUAAUCCUACUCACAAAGUGUGUUUUGUAAUAUCAUAUCGUUUUAUAAUUAUUUCAAUGUGUUGUGUGCGCCUAAACGUUUAUCAGUGGCAUUUCCUUUCACUCGCGAUGCGGAACAGACGAGGACUUUUCUAAAAGGGAAAAUCUGAAAACGGGGAAGUUGGUUUUAACAAGGAAAACACUGAAAAGAGAUAUUUUCGUUCACUCGUGAUGCUCCGGAGCAGAUGAGGAAGUUGGUUUUAACAAGGAAGGCGCCAAAAAUGGUUCAUGCUGGCUUAACAGAAAAAUCAAAAGAAGAUGAUGUGCUUGAAGAGUAUGAAGCCACCAAUACAUGGGAGUCGUCCAACCUCAAUGCAGAGAGAUCAGUAUGCACUUGGAAUUGUGACUUUGUCUCUGUCGUUAGAAGACCCAUUUUCUAGGGCAGUUUUGUGAUGCUGUAAAUAGGAGUGGAUAUCUUGCUUGGCUGAAAACUGCAGAGAAAAGCAUCUCAUCAUGUUGAAAAAAAGAAUGAGAGUAUUCUCUCCAAGGAGGUCCAAACACCAGCACAGACUUUGAUUAGUGAGCAUUAACAUGCAUUCAGCUUUUAUGGUAAUGAAUGGAAUGCUGUUGUUUAACCUCCUAAAUGUCAGCAUUAUAAACCUUAUGAUAUCAA
Onychostoma macrolepis is the source of this 1489-nucleotide long non-coding RNA. RefSeq lists it as uncharacterized. The record is from RefSeq and is a predicted model, not a curated record. The transcript has 6 exons. Lineage: Eukaryota; Metazoa; Chordata; Actinopteri; Cypriniformes; Cyprinidae.